Molecule: ribosomal RNA, 1867 nt
Filed under: Escherichia coli
Lineage: Bacteria; Pseudomonadati; Pseudomonadota; Gammaproteobacteria; Enterobacterales; Enterobacteriaceae
Description: partial 23S ribosomal RNA
Rfam family: Bacterial large subunit ribosomal RNA
Source: RNAcentral
CGGGACACGUGGUAUCCUGUCUGAAUAUGGGGGGACCAUCCUCCAAGGCUAAAUACUCCUGACUGACCGAUAGUGAACCAGUACCGUGAGGGAAAGGCGAAAAGAACCCCGGCGAGGGGAGUGAAAAAGAACCUGAAACCGUGUACGUACAAGCAGUGGGAGCACGCUUAGGCGUGUGACUGCGUACCUUUUGUAUAAUGGGUCAGCGACUUAUAUUCUGUAGCAAGGUUAACCGAAUAGGGGAGCCGAAGGGAAACCGAGUCUUAACUGGGCGUUAAGUUGCAGGGUAUAGACCCGAAACCCGGUGAUCUAGCCAUGGGCAGGUUGAAGGUUGGGUAACACUAACUGGAGGACCGAACCGACUAAUGUUGAAAAAUUAGCGGAUGACUUGUGGCUGGGGGUGAAAGGCCAAUCAAACCGGGAGAUAGCUGGUUCUCCCCGAAAGCUAUUUAGGUAGCGCCUCGUGAAUUCAUCUCCGGGGGUAGAGCACUGUUUCGGCAAGGGGGUCAUCCCGACUUACCAACCCGAUGCAAACUGCGAAUACCGGAGAAUGUUAUCACGGGAGACACACGGCGGGUGCUAACGUCCGUCGUGAAGAGGGAAACAACCCAGACCGCCAGCUAAGGUCCCAAAGUCAUGGUUAAGUGGGAAACGAUGUGGGAAGGCCCAGACAGCCAGGAUGUUGGCUUAGAAGCAGCCAUCAUUUAAAGAAAGCGUAAUAGCUCACUGGUCGAGUCGGCCUGCGCGGAAGAUGUAACGGGGCUAAACCAUGCACCGAAGCUGCGGCAGCGACGCUGAUGCGUUGUUGGGUAGGGGAGCGUUCUGUAAGCCUGUGAAGGUGUGCUGUGAGGCAUGCUGGAGGUAUCAGAAGUGCGAAUGCUGACAUAAGUAACGAUAAAGCGGGUGAAAAGCCCGCUCGCCGGAAGACCAAGGGUUCCUGUCCAACGUUAAUCGGGGCAGGGUGAGUCGACCCCUAAGGCGAGGCCGAAAGGCGUAGUCGAUGGGAAACAGGUUAAUAUUCCUGUACUUGGUGUUACUGCGAAGGGGGGACGGAGAAGGCUAUGUUGGCCGGGCGACGGUUGUCCCGGUUUAAGCGUGUAGGCUGGUUUUCCAGGCAAAUCCGGAAAAUCAAGGCUGAGGCGUGAUGACGAGGCACUACGGUGCUGAAGCAACAAAUGCCCUGCUUCCAGGAAAAGCCUCUAAGCAUCAGGUAACAUCAAAUCGUACCCCAAACCGACACAGGUGGUCAGGUAGAGAAUACCAAGGCGCUUGAGAGAACUCGGGUGAAGGAACUAGGCAAAAUGGUGCCGUAACUUCGGGAGAAGGCACGCUGAUAUGUAGGUGAAGCGACUUGCUCGUGGAGCUGAAAUCAGUCGAAGAUACCAGCUGGCUGCAACUGUUUAUUAAAAACACAGCACUGUGCAAACACGAAAGUGGACGUAUACGGUGUGACGCCUGCCCGGUGCCGGAAGGUUAAUUGAUGGGGUCAGCGCAAGCGAAGCUCUUGAUCGAAGCCCCGGUAAACGGCGGCCGUAACUAUAACGGUCCUAAGGUAGCGAAAUUCCUUGUCGGGUAAGUUCCGACCUGCACGAAUGGCGUAAUGAUGGCCAGGCUGUCUCCACCCGAGACUCAGUGAAAUUGAACUCGCUGUGAAGAUGCAGUGUACCCGCGGCAAGACGGAAAGACCCCGUGAACCUUUACUAUAGCUUGACACUGAACAUUGAGCCUUGAUGUGUAGGAUAGGUGGGAGGCUUUGAAGUGUGGACGCCAGUCUGCAUGGAGCCGGCCUUGAAAUACCACCCUUUAAUGUUUGAUGUUCUAACGUUGACCCGUGAUCCGGGUUGCGGACAGUGUCUGGUGGGUAGUU